CUCAUUUAAGGGUUGGCACUGGAGGCAAGGGUAUCUUGCUUGAGAUUCCUGCCUGCUUGAGGACCUUGUAGGCCUUCUAAAGGCCACUUUCCAUCAGAGCAGUGAAAUAAGAGAGGGCUAGUGCACAGUAUGUCAGAAGCUACUACUAUUUUCAGGGAGGUGGGUGACAAACACAGAGCUCACUGCUAAACUACUGCAAUCAAGUGGAUCAGAAACAGAAUUGGAGCUAUUUUAUCUGGACCUAAUUAAAGAACCUUCGUUACUGGCAGCUCCUAGAAGAUUUAAAAAUAUGUGGAAGCUAGCUGAGAGUUUCGCAUGCACACCUGAAUGGCAAAUAAACUGAACAGCUCCCUGGCUCCUCCGCAUGCAAACAUUUGAAUUUCCUGUUGGCUCAGAGUGUUUGCAUUGCAAGUGACAUGUGGCUGACAGGAACUUGGAGAAAUGGGAUACGAAGUGAAUGCUGUAGUUACCACAGCAUCAUAUUUAUCAAAAGGCUUAAGUGACCGCUACAUCAGUAGAGUCUGUGUCGAUAUGGUACUGCCCAGAGUGCACCGGACUUCCAGAAAGGCAUGCUAUCGUGCUGAAAUUCUAAGGAGACACUCAUUGAAUCUCCUGGGAGAGAAAGAAGAAAUGAAGUCCUAGAUGCAGUUGUACACAGUGCUGGUAAAACAACAAAUCCUGUCAGAUACCUGAUGUAUUACUUCAGCAGCAAAUUCAACAAGGCCGAGAUGUCUUCAUUUUCCUCCAGAGCAAGAGCUGCAUGAGCAGUGUGAUGGAAGUAUUGGUCUUCUGUGGCCAGCCGGCGAGAACCCAUCAACAGCUGUGAUGAGCAGAGCAGACACAGAGAGACAGGAGGCAGCUGAAGCCAAAGAGGACCCACGCCUGGAGCUGUGUGUGUGAUUGGAGCAGAGAGAGGCCAGGACCCAAGGAAAUCCCAGCAGCAAGGGAAAAAAACAGAUUGACUCUCAGUGACUCAUUUAGCUCCUGGAUUGGACAGAUCUCUCCCCUGCUGGCAAUUUGGCUGAGCAUCAAUGGACAGAUACCAGGAUGAAUAGCUUAAAAUAAUUAGGGGUUGGGAAUCUACAAAAAUGCUAGCCAUCCAGUUCUUUACUGUGCAAUGCGAGGCACAAAAAAGAAAUUACAUUUAGGUUAUUAAAUAUUAAGUCUGUGGAUUUACCUCCAUUUGGUCCAGAACAGGAAACUGGAUAAAAUUCAACAUUUAUUUCAUUGUGCUGAUGGCCUGUUUAUCACUGAGUCGAAAAGAAGAGAAAAGAGGAAUUUGACAAAUGGUGGCAAUUGAGACUUGUGAUUUAAGAACAACAUCUCAAGCAGUUUCUCUGAAGUGGUUCUCAAUAUGAAAUGAGGUUGCCACAUGCUUACCAGUGGUGAUAGAGGUAUAUGGCUACAGAUGCCCUGCCCCUCAAAAGCUUUUUGUCUAUCAGAGUCAUGGAUGAAGAACACCAGGUUUGUGUGCAAACUGGAGACACCACAGAAACUAACAAGGGCAGACCAGAAACACUAUGGAAACAUCAUGUAUAAUCCACCUGGGCAAGACCUAAGGCUGGGCCUCUGCUCUGUGCCCUGUUCUAUGAAUUUUGACUGGAUUAAGAAACGCCAAGUUGAGUGUUGGCAUUGCACAAUGUUUUGGUUACAUCUUUUAAGAAAUGACUGCAAAAAAAAAUGUCUGUGAUCUUAAAGCCCUGAAGUCCAAAUGGUGAGCCAGACUUUUCAACCAAGAGCCUGGAUCAAGGCAUUCCACCCAGGCCUGCUGGACGUCAGUUCCACAGCCAAGUGGCUCAGGCUCAUCAGGAGCACUUUCUUGAAACAAUUGUAUUUGGGAUACUUUUUAGGUAACUGCUGACCUAAAUUGAAUUUUCCAGAUUCCUUCCAGAAUUGACAUUGUAAAAAACAAUCUGCCUUUCCCAGGCACAUCAUAGUACGUUUUCAGCUAAAAAUUAUCUCUGGUCCUGAUAGGUGCUCAUAACUCAGAAGUAGGCAGACUACAGAAAUUCUGUGUUGAAUGCAAAAUUACUUUAACAGAUUUAUAAUGCAGGUGUGUUACCCAAAGUAAGAGUGCAGGAGGGAGGGCCUGCUGAAAGUGUUUAAAAUGUAUGAAGUAUUAAUUAUUUUGUGCUGUCUGCUGGAAGAUAAGUCCAUGCUCAGUAAGCUAUCUAAACUGUGUUUUUCACUACACAUGUUUGUUAUGUUUUGGUUUUAAUUUGCAGUGACACAAAAUCUUGCAUAACCAACUUGAAUGCAUCUUUGAAUAUUAAAAAUACUAAUUAUUAUGUAAUUAGUCAACAGGAUAUGUGUAAUUGUGUAAUACCAGAAUUCCUGGGUGUGGUAAGAACAUAGGUAGAAUGCCAACACUCAUCUAGACACAGUAUUAUAAAAUUACACAACACAUACCCUGGGUGGGUACUGUAAUUGUAUUUUACAUUUAAACAAUGGCUACGUUAAGAAAAUAGUGCUUAUCCUUUUUAAAAAGAGUAUCUUCCCACUGGCAUGAAUCUUAGUAAAUGAUGAUGAUAACUAUGUCCAAAUAGUGUGUAUUCCAUCUCCCAGGGGACCCAGCCUUCUUUGUAAAUAUAUAAAUAGGAGAUUGAAACCACUUGUGGCAGGAAGCCACCCCAAAACGGACCUGUGACAAUUGCUGAAUCAUGCACAUGUAAUCAAAUGUGAAAAAUGUACAGGAAGAAUUUUCUAUCUCAUGAAAAAUCAUGUGAGAUUAGCAGAAAUCCGAGUAGAAAUUAUAUUAUUUCUAUGAUUUGAUAGACAUCAAUGCCAUCCUUAAACCAUGGUGGAAACAGAACUAUACAAUGAAUCAGAUUCUUCUUUGAACUUACCCAUGAAGAUCUAGGUUACAGUCAUAAAAUGUACUGAGCAUUUUAGUUGCCUAUUACCUGUGCUAAGAUUAAUUGCCCAUAGAGUGCAAAAAUCUUCUGUACUCAUGGCCAGCACUCCCCAGCACACACCUAGUCGUCACUCAUCCUUUCUAUGGUACAUCUGCGGUCAUUGAUGGGCACGCACUUCACUGGGGCCAGCACUAAGAGGUGGUGAGUUCUACAGUAUAGACAGACAAGGAGGAUUGUUCUUUUACACCGGUCAACACUUCUCUCUUUCAAUAGAGAUUCAUGGUGAAAAGUUCAAGAAAAGAACAGAAAGGUGAAAAUUCCAACAGCAAAUGCAAAUGACUAUGCUCUUACUCAUUAUAAAUGUAAAAUACUGGAGCCUAAAGCUGGGGUUUUUUCAUGUACCUGAGUGGAAAAGGGUGAGGUGCCCUGUGAGGAUGAUUUUAUCUUUUACUUUUGAGUCUGAAGAUCUUCAAUGUGGUUUGGCAAGUUCAUAAAAAUAUUUGUGAUAAAGUUGAACUGCUGUCUGGAAAUGUAACAUGCAGAGAUGCAAGGAAGCUUGAGAAGAAAAGCGCAGAAGAGUCAGCACUGCACAUGAAUGAGGUUAAAAAUUGCAGACGAUUAGCUACUAGAUGACUCCUACUAAAUAAAUCAUCAAAGACCUGACUGCUGCUUCCAGGUUUCCACAACAGUAUUGGCUCAUUGAAGAAGCCAAAAAUUGCUUAAUAUAUUAACUUGGCCAAAGUUUUAGGAAUCUACUGUUCUUGCUUGAAUUCACUGAUCAACCAACAAGGCCAAGGCUGUAAAGUGGGUGCCUCCAUGUUUAUUGCUCAGGAUCAAAGGCCAUAUGAUAUGGAAAAUGAGCUUCUUUGUGUUAAAUGAGAGCAGUAUGGGAAAGAAAAACAACCUGAACAUGUCAUGGACUCUCACAUCUUAUUUCAGCACUCAGUAAAGCACUUUGCUUGUCCAAUUUAAUAGAGAAGCAAAAUUUCUUUUCCUGUAUGCCUCCACUGAUCAGGUCUAGCACUGAUCUCAUUUAGAGCUUAAUCCAAGACCAAAAGUAAAGGGAAAAUAUUCUCAUUGCUUCCAAUUGGCAUCUGGUCAGUCUUGCAUGGUUGUUUUACUUAAAUGUAUAUACAGUGCUGAGCUUCUCCCAAGAAAAAAAAAAAAAAAGAUGUAAAUGAUAAGAGAUGGGAGUGUGUACACUCAACUUUCCACUCUCCUGCUACUUGCUGCUGAUAGGACCAGUACUUUGGCUUUGCAAAGGCUUCUUAGUUUAUCUGCCCUUUCUGCAGGAUUAACUGGUUAAAAAAAAAGAAGUGCUCACUUUGACCCUCAUUGUUGCUACAUCUGGGCAGCUCACCACAGUUGUACUCUCUUACUGCUUGAGUUUUACUUGUGUCCCUGGCCUGUUGUGAUAAUCCUCUGAAUGUCAUUGUUGUGAAGGUUUUGUUCUUCCCAAAAACUCUCCAGAGGUUCUGUGAAGGCAAGUAGGGUUGAGAUUAACAGUAAAUUGUAUGUGUCACUAUAAUGAAUGGAAAUAUGCAGUCUAAUGAUUGAAUUUAACAGGAAAUUGAAAUGUUUGACUUUCCACAAGUCCAGUUUACAUUAUUUGGACUCCUGGCAUUGCUAGGUGAACCUCACCCUAUGCUGAAGGCCAGCCUAGGGCCUAAUUAUCACUUACAUGCAGUUUAAACUAUCUUCAGAAUAAGACUGAAGUGGUGCAUAAGCCUCACACUGUCUCUCUGUGCAGGAAUUUAAAAAGAACCUGAUUUGGAAAACACUAGGAAAAAAUACUAACGUUUUGCACAUCAAAAAAGGUAAUUAGAAAUGCUUUUCUUUUAUAACAAAUAAGCCAAGCAUAUUGACAUUAAUUAUAAGAACUACUCAGGGUUUGGAAUAAUCUGUUUAAGAGCACAGAUGUAUACCAAAUCCUAUGCAAAUGAGAGUGUGUUUGCAACUAUUCUUCAGGUAACACAUUUACUUAUAAAAAUAAGGUAUGAGUUUGGGUUUCUUUUUAAUCAUGAAAAGUCUUUCUCUCUCUUGCUCUUCCUCAACACAGUGAGAUAGCUGUAUCUGUUCAGCACAGCCUUCCAUGCGUUCCAGGAGCUCGAAGCAAAUUCUUUCCUUACGUGAGUUAGUACUACUCUGUCAGCUUUCCUGGCAUUACAUCACUGUAACUAGGAGCAGAAUUUGUUCUCCUUUGGUAGUAAAUUUCCUUUGGUUUCAAAAAAAGCUAAUGGAAUUCAUAAUCGCAUUUAUAAUUUUCAGUCUGUGUCCCUGAGCUUACUAGUGACGGAAGUAUUUAAGGAAAAUGCUGUGAAUGUGAUUUGUUAUGUCGUCCUCUAGUGCUGGUAGAGACUUUUAAUAACAUUGGUCAGAAAACUUUGCCGAUCACUUCUUUUACUCCAGCUGGCUGCGAAGAAAACUCUUACUUUUGAUAGCAUUAGUACAUGAUAGAGUUCUUCUGUGUAAGGGCCAUGACAGGCAGCCUCAGCUAGCUGAAUCGCUCCAUCCAUAGUGCUCCCAUAUCCCUGCCCCAUUCCCUGGUCCUUCCAUCUCACAUACUGCUUCUAUAUGGACACUAGGCACUUCAAUUUCCAGGUCAAAUUCUCUUAUAGAAUAUGACAAAUAUUUAUCUUAAGGAUAUCUCUUAAGUUUGAUGAGAGAGCUUGCACAGGAGCUGCUCAGUGGUCGUUGUAGAUUGUCACCUGGCAGGGCUGGGUUUGGACUGGCAUGCUUUGGGCCCAAAAUCUUGGAGCCUGCUUCACAGUUUCUUAGCCAACCUAUAAAUGCCAGAGCUUAGCGUAUUUACUCCUAUAAACACCAGUCCACAAGGCCAAGCGUUGGUAGUAAAUACUUAAUCUCUCUCAUCACCAGUAGAUGUUGCCAGUGCUGGUUCAGGUUCCUUGAAUGAUUUGCCAUAACAAUCUUCUAAACGUUUCCCAGGUAUUUCCAGGGCUACUGUGGUCGAACAAGUUCCAAAAGGCUUGCAGUAAAGUGUCCACUUUCACUGCUCAAGUUCAAGCCCAUUAAAGGCUUUGAGGAAAUCCAUUCAGUGCUUUGCACAAAGAAGAACAAAUGUGAACCAUUCCAGUGAGUUGCAGGUAUCAUUUCAGGCCUCUACAAAGUGUGGGGGGGGAAAUCUUCAUAUAUUCUAAUAAGCUGUCAGCAGUUGGCCUUCAGUCCAGCUUCAAGAUUUUUUUAAUGCCAGCAACUACCAGGAGAUCCAGACAAACUCAAACUGGAGAUUUCCUAAGCCUCAAAUCGUUGAGCGGUUACACACCACCUGUGAAACUGCAGCCUUUGACCUGUUCUCUUAUUUCCACUUCUGAGCAUCCACUACUGAAUCUGUUGCUGGAAUCAUCAGCAAAUAUUUCAGCCACUCCACAGCUCUGCAAGUUCUGACAAGGAGAAAUCAAGGCACCAGGGAAAAGAGAAGCCAGGUGGGAGAAGUGAGAUGCAGGAGGAAGGCAGGCUCUGGAGCAGCUCAGUAUGAGGUAGCUCAUACUGGUAGCUGGAGCGAAGCAAACUCCAGAAGAGAGACCUACAUAUACCAUGCAGCAGAAGCUCCCACAGACCCCAGUUUCCCCAGCAUGGGCCAGACUGUUGGCUUAACUCUGCUGAUUGCUCCUCCCUAGCACUUUCCUCCAGCCCACAACAGCGCUUCAGUAGUGUCAACAGCCUUCAGUAGUCUCCAAAAGACCUGCAGCAAAGGAGAGAACAGUGAGGAAGAAGAGCUUGCAGAGGUAACUAAGAGUUAACUGGCUACAUUUCAGCUGUCACCAUUGUCUUACAUCUACAGAGAGAGUGGGGAGAGCCAAGGAGAUAACAAUGGGAGCAGAUCCACAGUCUAGUGAGGACCUGGCCCGCUAUACUUUUGUGGUGUGUGUUGCAUUUCAGAGCCAGCACUUACCAGAGACGGUAAGAACAGACAGAAUAGGCUGUCCUAUAUAUUUGAUUGAAUUAAGUGUAGCAGAAAAAAAAUAUAUAGUUAACCCAGUGACUUCCUUAAGAUGAAAGAGAACAAGCCCCCAAAGAAAGAACAAAUGGAAAAAAUAAUGAACAAAAGAAAAUAAGAGCUUGUGACACAAAGUAAGAAAAAUAAACAGCAGUUGACUUAACUAUUUUGCAUAAGAUAUUUACAAACCACAGCAUAUUACUGUUUGCUUUAUGCAUUUUCACAUCCUGCUCAGUUUAAAGCAGUAAUUUUCUGCAAGGACAACAGAGGGAAAAAAAAUGCUUUACACUGCUUAUAUUAAUUACUUUUUUUCAUUACCCGUCAUGUUUUCUACAGGCUUGUGUAUUAUUACUGUAAAAUGUAAUGAAACAGAAAAAGAAAAAAAGAAUGGACUUCUGGGAAAUUUUCCAAUUCUUGAAAUGCGAUGUUAAUUGAGAGCUAUUUUUAGGUCAUCACGGGUAGAGCUGAACCCAUUGCCAUCAGCGCACACAAAGGGGAUGGCCCAGGUGCAACACAAACUGGGUGAGGGUAUCAGUUUCUACUGAUGGAGAAGAAGGGAGAGAAACUAUCUCCCUGGAGGGAUGGGUCUUGAUGGGCUUGGGGCAGCUUCUAUUUUUCAACAUAAAGUUCUCAAAGCACAAAAAGAAAAGAAAGGGUAUGGAGCCAGCAUGGGUCCAGGACCUGCCGUAACCAUGGGUGCUUCAGAAAGAGACCCAGUGACAGGAGGGCAGAGCAAAUGAAAGUGAGAAGCUCUCUCUGCUUUAGUGGCUGACUUCCAGCUCUGGCAUGGAGGGCACUCUGAAAGUCAGCAUAAAAUAAAGUCCCCCUAAAUGUAUCAGAAACGUGAUCCCUUUAAUUUAUAGAUCUCCUAAAAGGCUGCCAAAAAUCAAUUAUUUUAAUUUGUAUAUAGCACAGCCAUGGACUGAUUCAAGUUCUUUUGAAGUAUUUUUAAACAGCCAUUGCACAAAGCCACCCUCUUUCCCAUAUGCAAAAAAUGAAUUGAAAACCACAAUCUCUUGCAGUCACUUUGAUCGCGAGAAAAGACACACAGGACUCUGCAAGCAAAUCUGAGGCCCCCUGCUAAGUCCUGUAACUGGUACCUUUACUAUUAGUCCCCAGAAUCAGCUCUCCCUGUGUUAUCUGCCUCUUUUCCCAAAGAGUGCAGGGAAGGUGUUUGAGCCAAUAACAGCUUGUGAAGACCAGAGGAAAUACUUGCGGGUGGGUGGAGGUUCCCUUUGAAACUGGAGAAGUGGAAAAUCUUUGGUGUGCACUUAGUAAGGCUGGAAUGAAAGGGGAAAGAGCAUCUCAUGUGGGGGAAGCCACCCUUAUCUCCACAAAGCUGUUUGUUCUUUGUGUUACACAGCACUGCUAUAAAAACAAGAGCCUAACACGCUUUUUUUUUUCAGCAGCCAUCCUCACAUGCCAGGUAGCAUGUUUUGGAAAAGCUGAGAUUACGCCAAACAAUUUUCUACCCACUUUUGCCCCCUUCAUGUAGCAGUCUCAAAAUGGAGUCAUGAUCAGAUGGUCGAUUACCAAGAAUGUAGCGAUAGUGUUUGUUUUGAUGCUACUGCAGUUCUAGUAACCAGCCUGUAGGCACAGGAGACACCUCUCCACCCAUAUUGGCCCAGAUCAUCAAAGUCAUUUUGAGGUGGAUCCUAAACAAAGACACUUAAGUAUUCAAAUUCCUGGGAUAAGCUGGUCCUUUCUCCCUGGAACAAAUAGCUUACAUCUUGUCCUUUGUUUUUUUUAAUUCACUACAGGUUUCUUUGCUUUUUUGUGGUUUUGUCAGCCAGCUCACCAGAUCCAUCUCUUUUCCAGUCUCAACUCAAAAAUCUGAAGUAUGGCCAAGGGCAACGUGAAGUAGCAGGCAAAGUGCACCCCUGGGUCUGGCAGCAUGGCUCACCUUGACCUGUGCAGUAGCAUGGGCCUUAGCUAUUCAUCAUUAACUUGUUCUUGUUUCUUGCCUAUCUUCAAAUUUUUUUCCUGCCCAUCUAUAAGCUAUGAUUUGUCAAAAAAUACUACGUCAGUGCAUUCCAGGUGUGUUUCUCUCUCAGCAUAUUUGAAUGGUAUAGAAAUGUUAUGGAUUUGCCUGGAAAAGUUUAGACGGAUAAAAGAAAAAAACCACAAAGCAAAGCAAAACACAAACAGAAGAGUUUGUUUGCAGUUCAAACUUCUCUAGUGCUAAGAUAGAAGUGAUAAACCAUAAAUAUAAGCCAACAUGAUUUUCUCUUAUCUGACACAUUGAAUUGAGACUGUUGAGCUUAAACACUUAAAACAGAAUUGACAAACACUUCCUUUUAGAAAUGCUGCAUCAAAACUAUUAACUUUUAUACCGAGAAACCAUUUUAGAGCCAAGGCAAGGCAUGUGCAUUAGCACAUACUGCCGCUCACCCACACAAAAGGCGAGUGAACUCUGAUACUCAGUUUGCAAAUCAAGAGAGAAGUCCUAUUCCUAUUGACUAUGCUUGUCCUGCCUCCAGUGGUGGUGCCAGCAUUUGGACUUCAAUUUGCCAAGCCAAGGAGGCUCCAGCUAGUUGUAGCCUCACCAUAGACCUUAGCUCAUUAUUCGCCUGUCAGCGCUAUACUUCAUCAAGUCUGACAGCUAACCCCAUAGUUUUGUAUCUCUGCAUGACAGGCUCCUUUCUGCAUUUAGACUUGAGUUAUUCCCCUUUGCUAGAAAAAUUGAUCUGGAUCUGUAGCUCUCUGAUUGAAAGUCACGUCUUUUCCGCAAAUAACUCAGCUUUGUUCUUUCAUAAGGCUUCAGUUCUCUUCAGCACCCUAAGCUGCUUUCCUUGUAGGCGGUGGUCCAGAAAUGGAAGGGCUCCUUUACAGACUCAAGCAGCUAUGUCCCAUUAUUACUGUUCCUAUAUUUAUUUUGUCCAAAGUACAACUAGCUCAGCAUCCAUCGUUGUAUCUGUUAGAAAUACACAGACAAGGAGAGCUCACAGUAGUAAAUUAUGGUUCAUCCAACCACUUAACUCCUAUGGUUGCUGGCUUUCACAAAAAGUAAAAGGGACUGAAGUUCAGGGCAGUCAGCCAUACCACGCCGCCUCUGAGUGCAGUGGUGGCGCUGGAGCAGGGCGCGAGUGCUGAGGAUUUGGGAGCAGAGUCUGUGUGCCAGCACUUCAUGGCUGUUUCUGUGUCUUUGGAUUUUCCUGACAUUUACAUAACCACCCAUGGCACAAGAGGAGUUAAGCACCUGGUAAGCACCACAGCUCUUCCAUGGUACAAUGGCUGGAGGCUGCAAGGAUCUUGGGCAUGCUUAGCCAGGAGUGAAGUCCCACUGCCCUCCAGUUCCUGAGACAGAAAGUUGGAAGGCACCGUUAAAGAUUAUCUAGUCAAAAAUAAUGUGGCAGUGCUCAUCAGUCUGAACCGCUUGCAUCAGUCCUCAGAGAAACUCCAAGCACUGUUUUUCCCCCCUCUGGAUUGUAGCUGUUGAUGCUGCCUUUGCGGUCUCCCAGCUCAAAAAUCCCCUAGAACUGCCAAACUAAAACUCACUUUCCUGCCAGGGUGACCCAACAGAGCACAGAAGUGGAGCCCAGACCUGACCCUCAGGUAUCUGUGAGAGGAAAGCCCAAAUUCUGAUUUCUCCAAGAAGAAGCAGGUACUGAGCUGAGAGAGGAGGGAUUUGAGUUUGAGCACCCUGGGGUCUGGGCAGCAUCAUCACUGAUUCCCUGGGCUGGUUUCCCCUGCUGAGCUGUGCGUCACUGCACAGGCUGGAUGAUGUCAGUGCUGCCCAGGCAAGCUUCAGUUUGGCUGCUGGAUAAAGGGAAAAGUUGUCGUCACCACACAGACAGAAAACCAAAGAAAGCUUGUGUCUUCGGGCUAAAAAGCCAGCUAAAAUGAAGAAUGGAGAAGUAUGAGACCUUUGCUGGCCCCACAAGGGAGGCCAAGGACUGGCAGAAGCACAAGCAGAGGAAAAGUCCCACCGGGUCAAGGGAAGGGACAUGGCAGACUAAUAAGCACCAUUACCACAAGGAGAACUUUGCUCAACUUCUCAUGCCAGAAAGGACUGCCCAGACUGGCAGAUAAAUCUCCCUGAAGAUAGAGGAGUUAGAGGUUAGAGCACCAUAUUUAUCUCCAGCUACUUAGCAAAUAGUGAGAUGCUACAAAACAGAAUUGGAGUUUCAGCAGAAGGAAGGUGUCACUGAGUGGUAACAACGGCACAACCAUGCUUUGCCUCCGUUGGCAGCAACCUGCUCUCAGGUGGAAGAUUGCUCUUCAGCAUUUGGCCCAGGUCAGACAGGUAUUAGCGUGUCAUAUGCAGCAUCAUGCACUGAGAAGCUUGAUGUGUGAGCUGCUUUUAUACGCAGUCCUCCAAAAAGGAACAUUCUGUGUGGCCGCAGGUGAGCUGAGCCACUUCUGCCAAGCUGGAAGUUGUUCAAGAGAGUGGGUCAGACCUCGAGGAGCUGCCCCAGCGCCGCUGCCACCAUGGAGAACGGAGAUUGAGCACAUCCACAAAGCGGCGGCUGGUCGGGCUCACGAGCAGGCUGGGGAAGGAGCAGCUCUGUGCUACCCACGGGGCGUCCCUCCGGAGGGGGCACCCAGUGCGGCUGAGCAAUGCACACACAGCUGGUGGCACUCACUGGAUGCUCCCAGAAAACAGACGGCAUUGGUCCACCUCAAACGCCUCCCACGAGAAGUUCAAACUAAUUUUUUAGAGAAAUGCGCAGUCACCCGGGCGUGGGGCUGACGGCAAUGCGGUCCCCGUGCCACGGCCCACCUGGAGGGCAGGCGUGCAGAGGAGCCCCAUCAGACACACAUUGCGUUCUAUUAAGAAAAAAAAAAGGAAGAAACUUAUGAGUUUCAUAGAAACAAAUUGCUAUUUAAUUGCAAUGAGCUCUUCUGUGGCUUCGCCGGACUGACAACAGGCAUACACCUGGUACUGAACAGCAACAACAAAGGCUCCCUGGUACUUCACGUACUGCAGACUCGGGAAGUGAAACCGGUCCUGGAACACGUCUCACACUGAAGAAAUACAAUACUUCGAAGUCCUAUUUUUGCCCAGGCAAUGAAGUGCUAAAAGAAAUCCAACAGACCUCAGCACACUAGAGGCCAAGAAGUAGAAUCUGAAACAAAAUACAUCUGCUGCUGGUUGUUCAGAGAGACAAAGCUACAAAUCUGCUUUUUAUGCAUCAGCAUCACAACAAAAGUAAGUGCAGCUCACUCCAUAACCAAACAAGCUACACCUUCUUGAAAACAGAAUUUAAAAAGAAAACAUAAUCUUGCUGUAUUUCAAAUGCAUUGGUCUCCAAUAAAAGUUGAACGGUUGGUAACGCUGAUUUGCUCGGAGUUGCAGCAGAGGCACGUUCUAGAUGCCUGCAGCUCCCAGACUGGAGGCAUACAAUGCAGUCACAGAUUCAUGUUACUGUUCCUGCUACAAGUAUGAAAAAUGAGGAUUUUUUUUCUUAGAGUUGUUGUGCACAGCCCUGCGGAUGAGCAGCUGAAGGGAAAGGCCCACUGAACGGAGCUGCCCUCUUUCUAAGCUCAGAGAAAGUUUUCUUGCUUUGGAAGGGGUUUUGUUUCCUUCCAGAGAGCAGACCAUAGCUGCCAUCAGUUUGUUCUCGGAAUUAGCCUAGGAAGCGCGUUUUUCUUUCCUUAAGAUUAUCAGUUUUAAGUUUCUUGCACAGCAAACGCAACUUUAUUUUGUUCAGAUCAGAAUAGCUAUUGUAUUCCUUUUUAUGAGUGCUCAAUUCUAGUGCUCAGCAUGAGGUACGGACCUUUUGUUGCUUUUAUUUUUAUUAUUAUUCCUGAACCUCUUAAAGUAUAUUCAUACACGCUCAUGCUUGCACACUCACAGACACAUGCAUACCUCUAACACAGGCAAUUCUGCGGGAAGGAGCCAGACAGAAAGAGACCACAACACCUAUAAUGUGUACCACUCUUCACUGCAAUCUGAGCUGUCAUGUAUUUGCUGUUACCAGAAGCAAGAAUCUCGAUGAAAACUAAAGAUCAUUUUGAAGCAGCGCCCCAUAUCCACGCCAAAAUUAAGACGG
Numida meleagris (helmeted guineafowl) is the source of this 12809-nucleotide long non-coding RNA. RefSeq lists it as uncharacterized. The record is from RefSeq and is a predicted model, not a curated record. The transcript is spliced from 23 exons. Lineage: Eukaryota; Metazoa; Chordata; Aves; Galliformes; Numididae.